This 467-nucleotide ribosomal RNA is filed under the name uncultured bacterium. RNAcentral's name for it is "partial 16S ribosomal RNA". It matches the Rfam family "Bacterial small subunit ribosomal RNA", at positions 29 to 507 of the family's 1533-position model. The record is from RNAcentral.
ACGAACGCUGGCGGCGUGCUUAACACAUGCAAGUCGAACGGAAAGGCCCUGCUUUUGUGGGGUGCUCGAGUGGCGAACGGGUGAGUAACACGUGAGUAACCUGCCCUUGACUUUGGGAUAACUUCAGGAAACUGGGGCUAAUACCGGAUAGGAGCUCCUGCUACAUGGUGGGGGUUGGAAAGUUUCGGCGGUUGGGGAUGGACUCGCGGCUUAUCAGCUUGUUGGUGGGGUAGUGGCUUACCAAGGCUUUGACGGGUAGCCGGCCUGAGAGGGUGACCGGCCACAUUGGGACUGAGAUACGGCCCAGACUCCUACGUGAGGCAGCAGUGGGGAAUAUUGCACAAUGGGCGGAAGCCUGAUGCAGCAACGCCGCGUGCGGGGUGACGGCCUUCGGGUUGUAAACCGCUUUCGCCUGUGACGAAGCGUGAGUGACGGUAAUGGGUAAAGAAGCACCGGCUAACUACGUG